GAUGAACGCUGGCGGCGUGCCUAAUACAUGCCAGUCGAGCGAACAGACGAGGAGCUUGCUCCUCUGACGUUAGCGGCGGACGGGUGAGUAACACGUGGAUAACCUACCUAUAAGACUGGGAUAACUUCGGGAAACCGGAGCUAAUACCGGAUAAUAUAUUGAACCGCAUGGUUCAAUAGUGAAAGACGGUUUUGCUGUCACUUAUAGAUGGAUCCGCGCCGCAUUAGCUAGUUGGUAAGGUAACGGCUUACCAAGGCAACGAUGCGUAGCCGACCUGAGAGGGUGAUCGGCCACACUGGAACUGAGACACGGUCCAGACUCCUACGGGAGGCAGCAGUAGGGAACCUUCCGCAAUGGGCGAAAGCCUGACGGAGCAACGCCGCGUGAGUGAUGAAGGUCUUCGGAUCGUAAAACUCUGUUAUUAGGGAAGAACAAAUGUGUAAGUAACUAUGCACGUCUUGACGGUACCUAAUCAGAAAGCCACGGCUAACUACGUG
RNAcentral lists this ribosomal RNA (497 nucleotides) under uncultured bacterium. Its description in RNAcentral is "partial 16S ribosomal RNA". It matches the Rfam family "Bacterial small subunit ribosomal RNA", at positions 28 to 507 of the family's 1533-position model. The record is from RNAcentral.